GAAAGUAAGUAAGAGCGUAUGGUGGAUGCCUUGGCUCUCAGAGGCGAUGAAGGACGUGACAAGCUGCGAUAAGCUUCGGGUAGCUGCAAAUAAGCUAUUAUCCGGAGAUUUCCGAAUGGGGCAACCUGGUAUUUUGAAGAAAUACCAUUCCAAUUUAUUGGAAAGCUAACCCGGUGAACUGAAACAUCUAAGUAGCCGGAGGAAAAGAAAACAAUAGUGAUUCCCUAAGUAGUGGCGAGCGAACGGGGAAUAGCCUAAACCAACAUUGUUACGGCAAAGUUGGGGUUGUAGGACUACAAUGUGGAAUUUAAUUUUAUAGUGGAAGUUGUCUGGAAAGCAACAUCAUAGAAGGUGAUAAUCCUGUACACGAAAUAGAGUUAAUACCUAGUAGUAUCCUGAGUACCGCGGGACCGGUGAAAUCCUGUGGGAAUCUGCCAGCACCAUCUGGUAAGGCUAAAUACUCCUGAGAGACCGAUAGUGAACAAGUACCGUGAGGGAAAGGUGAAAAGUACCCUGAACAAGGGAGUGAAAUAGUACCUGAAACCGUACGCUUACAAGCGGUCGGAGCAGCUUCGUGCUGUGACGGCGUGCCUUUUGCAUAAUGAGCCUACGAGUUACUCCUCUCUAGCAAGGUUAAGUAUCUAAGAUAUGGAACCGAAGCGAAAGCAAGUCUGAAUAGGGCGUUUAGUUAGAGGGGGUAGACGCGAAACUUGGUGAUCUACCCAUGGUCAGGUUGAAAUUUCGGUAACACGAAAUGGAGGACCGAACCCGUUGACGUUGAAAAGUCUUGGGAUGAACUGUGGGUAGGGGUGAAAGGCUAAUCAAACUAAGAAAUAGCUCGUACUCCCCGAAAUGCUUUUAGGAGCAGCCUCGAGGUCGAGUCUUACAGAGGUAGAGCUACUGAUUGGACUAGGGGGCUUCACCGCCUACCAAAUCCUGACAAACUCCGAAUGCUGUAAGAUAUACUCGGGAGUGAGGGCAUGGGUGCUAAGGUCCAUGUCCGAAAGGGAAACAACCCAGACCAUCAGCUAAGGUCCCUAAAUAUAUGCUAAGUUGUUCUAACGAGGUUCGAUUGCACUGACAGCUAGGAUGUUGGCUUGGAAGCAGCCAUUCAUUUAAAGAGUGCGUAACAGCUCACUAGUCGAGCGAUCGAGCAUGGAUGAUAAUCGGGCAUAAGCAUAUUACCGAAGCUAUGGUUCCAACGUUUACGUUGGAAGGUAGGGGAGCAUUCCAGUUGCGCCGAAGAUGAAUCGCGAGAUUUGUUGGAGCGGCUGGAAAAGCAAAUGUAGGCAUAAGUAACGAUAAUGCAGGCGAGAAACCUGCACACCGUAAGACUAAGGUUUCCUGAUCAACGCUAAUCGGAUCAGGGUUAGUCGGGUCCUAAGGCGAAUCCGAACGGAGUAGUCGAUGGACAACUGGUUAAUAUUCCAGUACUAGCAUAUACUGCGAUGGGGUGACGAAGUAGUGAAAGAUCUGCGUACUGACGGAAUAGUACGUUGAAAACUGUAGGUAUAUAAAAUGGUUAAUAGCUAUUUUAUGCUGAAGGUUGAUAGUACCACAAGUCUUCGGAUGAGUGGAUAAUGAUCCUAAUCAGACUUCCAAGAAAAACCUCUAAGCUUCAGGUAUAUGCUACCCGUACCGUAAACCGACACAGGUAGUCGAGGAGAGUAUCCAAAGGUGCUCGAGUGAUUCAUGGCUAAGGAACUAGGCAAACUUGUCCUGUAACUUCGGGAGAAAGGACGCCACGUUUCGGCGUGGCCGCAGAAAAAUGACCCAGGCGACUGUUUAUCAAAAACACAUGGCUUUGCAAAAUCGAAAGAUGAAGUAUAAGGCCUGACACCUGCCCGGUGCUGGAAGGUUAAGAGGAGGUGUUAUUUCCCGAUUUCCAUUGGGAGAGAAGCUCUGAAUUGAAGCCCCAGUAAACGGCGGCCGUAACUAUAACGGUCCUAAGGUAGCGAAAUUCCUUGUCGG
Molecule: ribosomal RNA, 1971 nt
Filed under: sediment metagenome
Description: bacterial LSU rRNA
Rfam family: Bacterial large subunit ribosomal RNA
Source: RNAcentral